This 952-nucleotide ribosomal RNA is filed under the name Microbacterium paraoxydans. RNAcentral describes it as "bacterial SSU rRNA". It matches the Rfam family "Bacterial small subunit ribosomal RNA", at positions 23 to 983 of the family's 1533-position model. The record is from RNAcentral. Lineage: Bacteria; Bacillati; Actinomycetota; Actinomycetes; Micrococcales; Microbacteriaceae.
CUCAGGAUGAACGCUGGCGGCGUGCUUAACACAUGCAAGUCGAACGGUGAACACGGAGCUUGCUCUGUGGGAUCAGUGGCGAACGGGUGAGUAACACGUGAGCAACCUGCCCCUGACUCUGGGAUAAGCGCUGGAAACGGCGUCUAAUACUGGAUAUGUGACGUGACCGCAUGGUCUGCGUUUGGAAAGAUUUUUCGGUUGGGGAGGGGCUCGCGGCCUAUCAGCUUGUUGGUGAGGUAAUGGCUCACCAAGGCGUCGACGGGUAGCCGGCCUGAGAGGGUGACCGGCCACACUGGGACUGAGACACGGCCCAGACUCCUACGGGAGGCAGCAGUGGGGAAUAUUGCACAAUGGGCGAAAGCCUGAUGCAGCAACGCCGCGUGAGGGAUGACGGCCUUCGGGUUGUAAACCUCUUUUAGCAGGGAAGAAGCGAAAGUGACGGUACCUGCAGAAAAAGCGCCGGCUAACUACGUGCCAGCAGCCGCGGUAAUACGUAGGGCGCAAGCGUUAUCCGGAAUUAUUGGGCGUAAAGAGCUCGUAGGCGGUUUGUCGCGUCUGCUGUGAAAUCCCGAGGCUCAACCUCGGGCCUGCAGUGGGUACGGGCAGACUAGAGUGCGGUAGGGGAGAUUGGAAUUCCUGGUGUAGCGGUGGAAUGCGCAGAUAUCAGGAGGAACACCGAUGGCGAAGGCAGAUCUCUGGGCCGUAACUGACGCUGAGGAGCGAAAGGGUGGGGAGCAAACAGGCUUAGAUACCCUGGUAGUCCACCCCGUAAACGUUGGGAACUAGUUGUGGGGUCCAUUCCACGGAUUCCGUGACGCAGCUAACGCAUUAAGUUCCCCGCCUGGGGAGUACGGCCGCAAGGCUAAAACUCAAAGGAAUUGACGGGGACCCGCACAAGCGGCGGAGCAUGCGGAUUAAUUCGAUGCAACGCGAAGAACCUUACCAAGGCUUG